This 1484-nucleotide ribosomal RNA is filed under the name uncultured bacterium. RNAcentral describes it as "partial 16S ribosomal RNA". It matches the Rfam family "Bacterial small subunit ribosomal RNA". The record is from RNAcentral.
AGAGUUUGAUCAUGGCUCAGAUUGAACGCUGGCGGCAGGCCUAACACAUGCAAGUCGAGCGCGAAAACACUUCGGUGUGAGUAAAGCGGCGGACGGGUGAGUAACGCGUAGGAAUCUACCUAGUAGUGGGGGACAACUCGGGGAAACUCGAGCUAAUACCGCAUACGCCCUACGGGGGAAAGCGGGGGACCUUCGGGCCUCGUGCUAUUAGAUGAGCCUGCGUUGGAUUAGCUAGUUGGUGGGGUAAAGGCCUACCAAGGCGACGAUCCAUAGCUGGUCUGAGAGGAUGAUCAGCCACAUUGGGACUGAGACACGGCCCAGACUCCUACGGGAGGCAGCAGUGGGGAAUAUUGGACAAUGGGCGCAAGCCUGAUCCAGCCAUACCGCGUGUGUGAAGAAGGCCUUCGGGUUGUAAAGCACUUUAAGCAGGGAGAAAAAGCUAUAGGUUAAUACCCUACAGCCUUGAUGUUACCUGCAGAAUAAGCACCGGCUAAUUCCGUGCCAGCAGCCGCGGUAAUACGGAAGGUGCAAGCGUUAAUCGGAAUUACUGGGCGUAAAGCGCGCGUAGGUGGUUUGUUAAGUUGGAUGUGAAAGCCCUGGGCUCAACCUAGGAACUGCAUCCAAAACUAAUUCACUAGAGUACGAUAGAGGGAGGUAGAAUUCAUAGUGUAGCGGUGGAAUGCGUAGAUAUUAUGAAGAAUACCGGUGGCGAAGGCGGCCUCCUGGAUCUGUACUGACACUGAGGUGCGAAAGCGUGGGUAGCGAACAGGAUUAGAUACCCUGGUAGUCCACGCCGUAAACGAUGACAACUAGCUGUUGGAAAACAAUGUUUUUCAGUGGCGCAGCUAACGUUUUAAGUUGUCCGCCUGGGGAGUACGGCCGCAAGGCUAAAACUCAAAUGAAUUGACGGGGACCCGCACAAGCGGUGGAGCAUGUGGUUUAAUUCGAUGCAACGCGAAAAACCUUACCUACUCUUGACAUACUUGGAAGCUCUUGUAAUGAGAGUGUGCCUUUUGGAACCAGGAUACAGGUGCUGCAUGGCUGUCGUCAGCUCGUGUCGUGAGAUGUUCCGUUAAGUCGGAUAACGAGCGCAACCCUUACCCUUAUUUGCCAUCAUUAAGUUGGGCACUCUGAAAGAACUGCCAGUGAUAAGCUGGAGGAAGGUGGGGAUGACGUCAAGUCCUCAUGGCCCUUACGUGUUGGGCUACACACGUGCUACAAUGGUAUAUACAACAGGAAGCAAGACGGCGACGUUAAGCAAAUCCUCAAAAGAUACCUCAGUUCGGAUUGCACUCUGCAACUCGAGUGCAUGAAGCUGGAAUUACUAGUAAUCGUGGAUCAGCGUGCCACGGUGAAUGCGUUCCCGGGUCUUGUACACACCGCCCGUCACACCAUGGGAGUUGGUUCUACCUUAAGGCAAGGUUUCAAACCCUUGACCACGGUAUAGUCAGCGACUGGGGUGAAGUCAUAACAAGGUAACCGUA